GGCGAACGCUGGCGGCGUGCCUAAUACAUGCAAGUAGAACGCUGAAGAGAGGAGCUUGCUCUUCUUGGAUGAGUUGCGAACGGGUGAGUAACGCGUAGGUAACCUGCCUUGUAGCGGGGGAUAACUAUUGGAAACGAUAGCUAAUACCGCAUAACAAUAGGUGACACGUGUCAUUUAUUUGAAAGGGGCAAUUGCUCCACUACAAGAUGGACCUGCGUUGUAUUAGCUAGUAGGUGAGGUAACGGCUCACCUAGGCGACGAUACAUAGCCGACCUGAGAGGGUGAUCGGCCACACUGGGACUGAGACACGGCCCAGACUCCUACGGGAGGCAGCAGUAGGGAAUCUUCGGCAAUAGGGGCAACCCUGACCGAGCAACGCCGCGUGAGUGAAGAAGGUUUUCGGAUCGUAAAGCUCUGUUGUAAGUCAAGAACGAGUGUGAGAGUGGAAAGUUCACACUGUGACGGUAGCUUACCAGAAAGGGACGGCUAACUACGUG
This 497-nucleotide ribosomal RNA is filed under the name uncultured bacterium. RNAcentral's name for it is "partial 16S ribosomal RNA". It matches the Rfam family "Bacterial small subunit ribosomal RNA", at positions 28 to 507 of the family's 1533-position model. The record is from RNAcentral.